This 250-nucleotide ribosomal RNA is filed under the name Rhodopirellula sp. RNAcentral describes it as "partial 16S ribosomal RNA". It matches the Rfam family "Bacterial small subunit ribosomal RNA", at positions 1291 to 1533 of the family's 1533-position model. The record is from RNAcentral. Lineage: Bacteria; Pseudomonadati; Planctomycetota; Planctomycetia; Pirellulales; Pirellulaceae.
GUUCGGAUUGCAGGCUGCAACUCGCCUGCAUGAAGCCGGAAUCGCUAGUAAUCGCGGGUCAGCAUACCGCGGUGAAUGUGUUCCUGAGCCUUGUACACACCGCCCGUCAAGCCACGAAAGUGGGGGGUCGGCGAAGUCGCUGAGCCAACCGUAAGGAGGCAGGCGCCGAACCGAAACUCCGCGAUUGGGACUAAGUCGUAACAAGGUAGCCGUAGGGGAACCUGCGGCUGGAUCACCUCCUUUCUAAGGA